AGUGAACAGAGGGAGCAAACAGGGCAGAUUGCAAGCAGUUCACUGGGAGAAAGAGGGGGACAGGGAAGAGGAAGAGAAGCCAGGCACGAGGCUCCAGAUCCUGCUAUGGGAAAAAAUCAUACAAUGUCUGACUGCCUCUGAAGUAUGGUCUUGAGGAGCCUUGGGAAAAUUGUGCAGAAGGCCAUAUUAUUAUACCCCUAUUUAUGUUGACAAGUGUCACGCUGCUCAGGAAAACAAACAAAACCAAUGAAACGGAAGAUGUCUGGUCCAAUGGAUUAGAUUUAUUUACUAUUUUAUGACAACGGACAUCAAAAGCUUUGAAGCAUGACUGGGAUAUGAAGAAUGACAUCACAUGGAGAUUAAAGCAUCUGGGAAAGCAGCAAUUCCCUUUCUACCCCACAACCCCCCCAUGCUAAUAGGAAUGUGGCAAUCAUCUGUUCAAGUUGAAUUGCUGACAUGGUUCUACAGGAGAGAAGCACUGUCUGAAGCAAAGUCUUCAAUUCAGCAGAGAUUCUCACUUAGGUUUAUCUUUCAUUUCAGUGCUUUUCCUACCCACUCAUUUCCCAGUAUGUGAACUACUUACAGGAAAGGAGUAGUGGCACAACAGAGGUGUCAGAAGAAAUUCAGACAAGCAGACACAUUUUUGGCUGAACACAUAAUAGUACUUAGCAGCAUACUUCAAGAAGAGGGACAUUAAUCAUUGUGAGAUCAGAGAAUCCUUCUUUCACCAAGAGAAUAGGGACUUCAGAAAUAAUAAUGAAAAUAAAUAAAUAAAGCAGGGAGAAAGGAAUAGUUCCAACAUCACAACAUAUUUUUGAUGACUCUGCUUCAGAUUCUCAGCAAUUUUUGCCCCAAUGCUUGCUUUACUGUACUGAUAAUAACUCGUUUUAGCUGGCAACCUUAAUAUGAAGAACCACACGAGUGACACUACAGUGUGUAGCAGCAUUGUGUAAUAGAAUUGAUGUGGUGACCUGUGUGUUGAGUGCACCCACAUACCCAACCACUUGUCAAGGAAUAAAAACUUUUUG
Long non-coding RNA from Alligator sinensis (Chinese alligator), 1028 nucleotides. RefSeq lists it as uncharacterized. NCBI's taxonomy places the organism in Eukaryota, Metazoa, Chordata, Crocodylia, Alligatoridae. The transcript has 4 exons. The record is from RefSeq and is a predicted model, not a curated record.